GCCGAGGUGGCGAAACUGGUACACGCACUACCUUGAGGUGGUAGCGGGGGCAACCCCUUGCAGGUUCAAAUCCUGUCCUCGGCA
This 84-nucleotide transfer RNA is filed under the name bacterium. RNAcentral describes it as "tRNA-Leu". It matches the Rfam family "tRNA". Rfam says of the family: Transfer RNA (tRNA) molecules are approximately 80 nucleotides in length. Their secondary structure includes four short double-helical elements and three loops (D, anti-codon, and T loops). The record is from RNAcentral.